AGGCUGAGUGGCAGAGUGGUUAUGCAGCGGACUGCAACUCCGUGUACAUCGGUUCGAUUCGUUCUCAGUAUCCCA
This 75-nucleotide transfer RNA is filed under the name Gammaproteobacteria bacterium. Its description in RNAcentral is "tRNA-Cys". It matches the Rfam family "tRNA". From Rfam's summary of the family: Transfer RNA (tRNA) molecules are approximately 80 nucleotides in length. Their secondary structure includes four short double-helical elements and three loops (D, anti-codon, and T loops). The record is from RNAcentral. Lineage: Bacteria; Pseudomonadati; Pseudomonadota; Gammaproteobacteria.